This 205-nucleotide long non-coding RNA is filed under the name Lathyrus oleraceus (garden pea). RNAcentral describes it as "Pisum sativum (pea) long non-coding RNA (PSAT_LNC012797)". The record is from RNAcentral. Lineage: Eukaryota; Viridiplantae; Streptophyta; Magnoliopsida; Fabales; Fabaceae.
AAUUUGGAGGAUAUUCCUUAGAUUUUGCUCAUAAUAUGUUAUGCUCAUACGAGUAUUCAGUUAUGUAAUAAGGUCUGUCAAAUGCAUAAGAGAGUUUAUGGAAUAUAUGAAUAGAAUUUUUAAUUCUUAAUUAGAUCAGUUUGUCAUGGUGUUUAUAUCAGAUGAAGAGUAUGCAGAACAUUUGAGAGUCAUGUUGCAGACCUUA